UACGGGGGGGGCAAGCGUUGUUCGGAAUUACUGGGCGUAAAGGGCUCGUAGGUGGCCAACUAAGUCAGACGUGAAAUCCCCAGGCUCAACUUGGGAACUGCGUCUGAUACUGGAUGGCUUGAAUUCGGGAGAGGGAUGCAGUAUUCCAGGUGUAGCGGUGAAAUGCGUAGAUAUCUGGAGGAACACCGGUGGCGAAGGCGGCAUCCUGGACCGAGAUUGACGCUGAGGCGCGAAAGCCAGGGGAGCAAACGGG
Molecule: ribosomal RNA, 253 nt
Filed under: uncultured bacterium
Lineage: Bacteria
Description: partial 16S ribosomal RNA
Rfam family: Bacterial small subunit ribosomal RNA
Source: RNAcentral